RNAcentral lists this long non-coding RNA (508 nucleotides) under Nicotiana benthamiana. Its description in RNAcentral is "long non-coding RNA (NBEN_LNC040780)". Lineage: Eukaryota; Viridiplantae; Streptophyta; Magnoliopsida; Solanales; Solanaceae. The record is from RNAcentral.
AACAAAGAAUAUCAAAGUGCCUGGGCCAAAUCCUUUGUAUGGUUUUUCUGUCUUCAUAUGGGACGAAUGACAAUUCAUGGUGCUCCUUUUCCCCUUUGUUUCUCCCUCCAGUACCACCACUAUGAUUUGGCUACACUAUCUCUUAUUAUAUAAUUUUAAUACUAGAUCGUGACUUUGCGUCAUUUAUAUUUUUUUUUCUCCAGAAUUUAGAAAAUUCUUCUAAUGUUCUUCCACUUUUCACUUUUGAUGUUUCUAGUGCAGAAAAGGUAUAUAAAGCAAAAAGGGUAACUUUUUUCCGUUGUAUUUUUGUGAAAUGGUACCUAAGUUUAAUUUGAACUAGGUAGCAUUUGUCUGCACAUUAACCUCGUAGAAUAAAGUUCAUCUCUUCGUGAAAAGGGUGGCUGAACCAGAAUGGUGGCAGUGUACAUUCCAACAUAUAUAGGUCAAUAUUUUGCUAAACGAGAACUAUAUUAUUAAUUAGCGCUUAGUUCUCUUGUUUCUGUCUCGG